AUGCAUCUAUUGACAGCCCUGGAGCAGUUACUGACUGUUACUAAGGUUAUCGCUACAGAUGCAAGAAAAAAGUGUCCUGUCUUACUGUGACAGCCCAGACUGAAUGGAGGAAUACAGAG
RNAcentral lists this small nucleolar RNA (119 nucleotides) under Catagonus wagneri (Chacoan peccary). Its description in RNAcentral is "Small nucleolar RNA SNORA31 (ENSCWAG00000007403.1)". It matches the Rfam family "Small nucleolar RNA SNORA31". From Rfam's summary of the family: ACA31 (SNORA31) belongs to the H/ACA class of snoRNAs which are thought to guide the sites of modification of uridines to pseudouridines. ACA31 is predicted to guide the pseudouridylation of U3713 in 28S rRNA and U218 in 18S rRNA. This family includes the mouse homologue snoMBI-161. Lineage: Eukaryota; Metazoa; Chordata; Mammalia; Artiodactyla; Tayassuidae. The record is from Rfam by way of RNAcentral.